CGCUCAAACCAUUUUUUUCCUAAACCUAAUUUCUUUCCAAACCUCAUCAACCCCUUUCUUCUUCUUUCUAUCAGCCGCCAAAACUCAACAACCACCAAAACUCUCACGCCUCCUCAUUCGAUCGACUCAACCCUCGUCUCUCAUUCUCUCACAUCUCCAUUUCUGAACGGUGGUUAGACUCAUUCAACCAUCUUCUUCAUUCAAUCUCACAACCAUGAAUACAAGCCAGCUUCGUCGUCUUCUUCUCGUCUUCGUAACUUCCGGCGCCGCUAGAUAACCACCACCAUCAUCGCCUUCGCUUGAAUCAAAGGUCUCGGAACACCAAUCACAUUCGAAGUACAUCAUUCCUCCAUUUCAACCGCGAUUUUGAUUCUUAACACAAAACCCUAGGUUCUUUACGGACAGAAUUGAACAUUCACCGUCACAAAUUGAGCUCGAUUCCUUGGGGGUUAGAUUCACCAUAGCAUAAGCUUCGUGUUGGUGACAAGAACUAAGCAAAGCGGUGAAUUAAAGAAUGAGUUCGGCAGUUACCUAUCAGAGAUUAACAAAUGCAAUUUCGACAACGACGAAGAGAAAAAGAAAACCAGAUGCUCCGCCUUUCAGGGUAAACCAAGAAAUAACACACAGAGAUGAUGUAACUUUUUGGUUGAUACUUUGUCAGUAGGUUUAUGAAUACUAGAACAUAGAUAUGAGCUCAUCCCAAUUGAUGCCAAUUUAUCAUUUCCUUAGUCCUGAACCGUGUUGUCAAUGCAGGUUUCAUAGGAGAUGACAAGGAGACUUUUGAGACAUUUGAAUCUAUGGAGUUUGGACUACUCUUUUUCUAGAGGAACUGCUCAUUUACUUGCAAAGAUCUUGACUAUCAACAAACUCUAAGGGGUACAACUUGCUGUUAACAACCAUGCGUGGUGAUUUUACUGUGUAUCAUUUCCAGUCAAAUUAUCUGGCUUUGCUUUCAGUGCCAACGGGUGGGUUCAAUCCUAUGGAUCCCACUAUGUCAAACAAGCAAUUAUCUAUGGUGAUGUGAGUCGUCCCAAGCCAAUGACUGUUUUCUGGUCUUCGACAACUCAAAGUUUGACAAAACGACCUAUGAAGGGAAUGCUUACUGGCCCUGUUACAAUUCUGAACUGGUCCUUUGUUAGAGAUGACCAACCUUGAUUUGAUACUUGCUACCAGAUUGUGUUGGCUAUAAAGGAUGAGGUUGAGGAUCUUGAGAAAGCUAGCAUUACUGACAUCCAAAUCGACGAGGCUGCUUUAAGAGAAGGUUUGCCUCUAAGGAAAUCUGAGGAGGCUUUCUAUCUAAACUGGGCAGUUCACUCAUUUAGGAUUACAAACUGUGGUGUGCAAGACACUACCCAGGUUCAACUUCACUUCACGGGUACAUACCUAUUAUUCAAGAUUUAAUUUAUUAUGAAUAUAAGUUACCUACCUAGAGAUGUGUAUAAAAAUGUAGGUGCAUGAGUGAAGUUUCUCCUAUAAAUUAGGACAGCAAGUGUUUGCUUAAAAUAAGAAAUGGCGUGUUUGUCAUUUAAACAUACCUCAGAGUUGCUGAGUGCAACUUCCCUUUUUAACAUCCAUUUUUCCCUUGCAAAGUAACGUUCUUUUAGCUUAUUUUUAAUGGAAGGUGUUGGACGAAAGCUUCACUUUUAUCUCUGUCUCUUAAUUUUAUGAGUUGUAAAAUGAACAAAGAGUUCCAUAAUAAUUAUAAUCCUCUGUUUGCACUAUGUGGGCUAGGAAUAGUCCAUAGCUAGGACAUAUUAUUAUUCGAACCAUAAGUCUAUGCCAUUGACUAACUUUGAACUUAUGAUGGGAAAUGGGUAAUUCUUUGGUUGUUUCCUUGUAUGCUGAGAUUUUCUCUCUGUCUCAGAUAUUGUGUUAAUGAACAUAUGAUUUUGGAAUUGAUUCAGUCAAAAGAAGUUGAUUUUAAAAGCUUAGAAGAGGCUCCUUUGGAUAAACUAUUAUCCAAUAUUAACGAAGAAGGACACCUCUAUGGGGUCCGUGGAAGUUCUGGAGG
Vicia villosa (hairy vetch) is the source of this 2011-nucleotide long non-coding RNA. RefSeq lists it as uncharacterized. NCBI's taxonomy places the organism in Eukaryota, Viridiplantae, Streptophyta, Magnoliopsida, Fabales, Fabaceae. The record is from RefSeq and is a predicted model, not a curated record. The transcript is spliced from 6 exons.